This 480-nucleotide ribosomal RNA is filed under the name uncultured bacterium. Its description in RNAcentral is "partial 16S ribosomal RNA". The stretch from base 20 to 348 matches the Rfam family "Bacterial small subunit ribosomal RNA", at positions 47 to 358 of the family's 1533-position model. The record is from RNAcentral.
GGCGAACGCUGGCGGCGCGCUUAACACAUGCAAGUCGAGCGAUGAAACUUUAACAGAACCCUUCGGGGCGAAGAUAAAGUGGAUUAGCGGCGGACGGGUGAGUAACACGUGAGUAACCUGCCUUAGACAUUGGGAUAGCCUCGGGAAACCGGGAUUAAUACCAAAUAAAAUCAUAAUGACACAUGUCAUAACGAUCAAAACUCCGGUGGUCUAAGAUGGACUCGCGUCCCAUUAGCUAGUUGGUAGAGUAAAAGCCUACCAAGGCGACGAUGGGUAGCCGGCGGGGGGGGGGGAGGGGCCACAUGGGAAAGGAAAACGGACCCAAACUCCAAGGGGAGGAGGAGGGGGGAAUUAUGGAAAAAGGGAGGGAAGUGUGAGGGGGCGCGGCGGGUGGAAGAAAGAGGGUUUCCGGGGGGAAAAGUUUUUUAAUAGGGAAAAAUAAGGAGGGAACAAAAAAAAAAACCCCGGGCAACCAAGGGG